This 957-nucleotide small RNA is filed under the name uncultured bacterium. RNAcentral describes it as "bacterial SSU rRNA". The stretch from base 1 to 481 matches the Rfam family "Bacterial small subunit ribosomal RNA", at positions 1045 to 1533 of the family's 1533-position model. The record is from RNAcentral.
AUGGCUGUCGUCAGCUCGUGCCGUGAGGUGUUGGGUUAAGUCCCGUAACGAGCGCAACCCCUAUCCUUAGUUGCCAGCGAGUAAUGUCGGGGACUCUAAGGAAACUGCCAGCGUAAGCUGUGAGGAAGGUGGGGAUGACGUCAAAUCAUCACGGCCCUUAUGUCCUGGGCUACACACGUGCUACAAUGGUAGGUACAAAGGGCAGCCACUUGGUGACAAGGAGCUAAUCUCUAAAAUCUAUCUCAGUUCGGAUUGGAGUCUGAAACUCGACUCUAUGAAGCUGGAAUCGCUAGUAAUCGCGCAUCAGCCAUGGCGCGGUGAAUACGUUCCCGGGCCUUGUACACACCGCCCGUCAAGCCAUGGAAGCUGGGAGUACCUGAAGUCGGUAACCAUUUAGGAGCUGCCUAGGGUAAAACUAGUGACUGGGGCUAAGUCGUAACAAGGUAGCCGUACCGGAAGGUGCGGCUGGAACACCUCCUUUCUAGAGCAAACAAUUUUUUUCAAUUGUUAGUCUUUUCUUCUCUUCAAUUUUUUCCCAUUAGCUCAGUGCGUUUACUGAUUGCUCAGGGCUAUAUUUAGAGUCCCUUAGCUCAGUUGGUUAGAGCGCUACACUGAUAAUGUAGAGGUCCGCAGUUCAAAUCUGCGAGGGACUACUAAAGCUAUUGGGGGAUUAGCUCAGCUGGCUAGAGCGCCUGCCUUGCACGCAGGAGGUCAUCGGUUCGACUCCGAUAUUCUCCACUAUCACAUAUAUAAUUAUUAUAUGGGAAAAGUUCUUUGACGUAUUUUAUAUUGAUUAAGAAAGAGUACAAAACAAAUUGUUACUUAUUUAAAAGCUAGUAAGAGCGUAUGGCGGAUGCCUUGGCUCUCAGAGGCGAUGAAGGACGUAAUAAGCUGCGAUAAGCUACGGGGAGGAGCAAAUAUCCUUUUAUCCGUAGAUUUCCGAAUGGGGAAACCCGG